GAUGAACGCUGGCGGUAUGCUUAACACAUGCAAGUCGAACGGACUCUUCGGAGUUAGUGGCGGACGGGUGAGUAACGCGUGAGAAUCUGGCUUUGGGUUCGGGACAACCACUGGAAACGGUGGCUAAUACCGGAUGUGCCGAGAGGUAAAAGAGAAAUUGCCUGAAGAUGAGCUCGCGUCUGAUUAGCUAGUUGGUGAGGUAAAGGCUCACCAAGGCAGCGAUCAGUAGCUGGUCUGAGAGGAUGACCAGCCACACGGGGACUGAGACACGGCCCAGACUCCUACGGGAGGCAGCAGUGGGGAAUUGUCCGAAAGGGGCGAAAGCCUGACGGAGCAAUACCGCGUGAGGGAAGAAGGCUCUUGGGUUGUAAACCUCUUGUCUUAGGGAAGAACAAAAUGACGGUACCUAAGGAAUCAGCAUCGGCUAACUCCGUG
Molecule: ribosomal RNA, 435 nt
Filed under: uncultured bacterium
Lineage: Bacteria
Description: partial 16S ribosomal RNA
Rfam family: Bacterial small subunit ribosomal RNA
Source: RNAcentral